CAGAUACUCCCUCUGUUCCAAAAUACUUGACUUUCAUUUGUCGAAAAAUAAAUGUACCUAUAUACUAAAAUAUGUCUAGAUACAUCUAUAUUUUGACAAAUGAAAGGCAUGUAUUGUGGAAUGGAGGGGGUAAAAG
This is a non-coding RNA of Triticum urartu, 136 nucleotides long. The record is from Rfam. Lineage: Eukaryota; Viridiplantae; Streptophyta; Magnoliopsida; Poales; Poaceae.